AACUCUCAACCCCCCUAUUUUGUAAUGAGAUGGGCGUGGGCUUGGAUUAUGGUUGUCUGUUGGCGUAAUUGCCGGCUCAACUGAAAUACACGAGCAACCCUACUGAAAUAAACGGUUUGACUUGGCGUAAUAAUUAUUUCGCUAAGGACGUUUUCUUCAAUUAUAAGAGGUGCUUCUAAUUCGCUUCUAAUAGCAUUUAAGCUU
Molecule: unclassified non-coding RNA, 204 nt
Filed under: Cystobasidium slooffiae
Lineage: Eukaryota; Fungi; Basidiomycota; Cystobasidiomycetes; Cystobasidiales; Cystobasidiaceae
Description: ITS 2
Source: RNAcentral